Molecule: long non-coding RNA, 1193 nt
Filed under: Manacus vitellinus (golden-collared manakin)
Lineage: Eukaryota; Metazoa; Chordata; Aves; Passeriformes; Pipridae
Description: lncRNA (ENSMVIG00005002187.1)
Source: RNAcentral
CUGACUUCAAACUGAUUUGGAUCAAGAUACAGUGACUUUAAGUGUGGAUAAGGCAUUCAGAGUUGAGGCUGGAUGAGUUCUGUCAUGCUUAUGAAGUCAUGAAAGCAUCUGGAUACACUACAGAAACCCUCAACCAAAAGCUUUUUGAAGUCUCUUUCUAAUACAAUCAUCCAGGCUUGCUCCACUAAACCAGGCUGCUCAACUAUCUGGAUAAGAAGACUCACCACCUUGGAAUUAGAGCUGGGAAAUGUUUUUGGAAAAACAGAAGAGGUGCUGGAGGAGAAUAGUGUUGUCUCUCUGGCCUGGCAGGUCACAGCUGAAAUUAAUCAUGAGAGAUUUAGCACUGAAGUGGGGGAGAAAGCUGAAAAACUAGGAGAGGCACUGCUCGAACACUGGCAAGCCUAAUGUAUCUUUCCAAAAAGAAGGAUGGAGGAUUUGCUCCGUUGUUUUUAAGGAACCAUGACUGAACACAGAGGGAACAGGGAGAUCUGUUGAAAAUUGAAAAUACUGGAGACAGUAAAGUGUGUUGUGCAAGGGCUUCUGUUGGCCAGAAGAAGUGAAAUAACAGCUCACUUCCUAAAAUGGAGAUAUCCCCACAUUUUGUUCCUGGCUGAGGAGAACAGUAUUAUUUGCCAUAUAUCUGACAAGUACCAGGGCAUUUUGCACCCUAUAAAAUUCCUAUAAUUUACCUGAAACUGCCAGUAAAUUGACUUAAACCUAAAUAGUGUAUCUUCCUUGAAAAGAAGCCACUGUUCUGUGGGGUUUUUUUUUUUUUGUUUGUUGGUUGGUUCUUUUUGUUGUUUUUGUUUUGUUUGGUUUGAUUUUGGUUUUUUUUUUACUGGUUAGUCUGUUACUGCUUAUAUUGCUCCCAGAUUCCUUGGGGCUUAAAUGUUUCGGGCAUGUUGUUAGAACAACAAAUUAAAAUUGGAACUUGGAAAAUCCUGUAUUUGGAAUUUAUUUGCACAGUUAAGCAGCAAAAGACUGUUCCUUGAAAGGGGAGAGCAGUCAAGGUCCACUCAUGCAGUGUGGGGAAAAUGACUGGUAGGUGACAGUGGAGGAAACCCAAAUAUACUGUGGGACUCCUCACCCUGGGAACGAUUCAUCAUUCCAUCCAGAGGAGCAGGUAGCCUCCCUCUCUCUGUUUGGGAUCCUAAGAUUGCAAGUUUAUUUUGAUUUUAAUUUUAACUUCACUC